Molecule: long non-coding RNA, 843 nt
Organism: Pseudoliparis swirei
Lineage: Eukaryota; Metazoa; Chordata; Actinopteri; Perciformes; Liparidae
Exons: 2
Source: RefSeq, a predicted model, not a curated record
CUCACUCGCUCUCUCUCUCAUCCACAGGGCUCUUUCAGCUCAUUCAAACCGUCCUCCAUUUUUAAUGACUUCUUUAUCUCCGGACUGAGGAGGAGAUUUGUUUGUGCUUUCAUGUAAAUUCUGUCAAGUAAAGUGGAGGCCCAGGACGCUGUCGGAUUAGAGGGGGCGAGACUCUGACAGUGACUGUCAGGGCCUGCAGCCUGACACGGGAGUGAUCAUCUGGAAGAGAGGAUGGGAGGAAGAAACCAGCGUUGAAUUAAUCAUAUUAACGAGGGCAUCAGGAGAAGAAAAGCGUGAGAGGGACGGAGACACCGACAGUAAAAGAGAGGAAUGGGAAGUGGUGAUGGAGGAGUGACAAGAGGGGCUUCAUGCUGUGGCACAAAUGGAAACAGAGUGGUGGAAAUGCAACAUGGCUCAUGUCACGUGACUGAUCCUGUAUGGCAAACACAAUGAUGCUGCUGUCAGUUGGAAACAUUGAUGAUAAGAAGUUAGGAGAACAAAAUAAUUAAAAUAAUUGUUUGGGGACUCGCUGAUUUUAGCUAUUUGAAACUUUCUUCAUGGAAUACCUUAAGGGUUAAUAAAAUCAGCAGUUAGAACACCAUGUAUACACUACAAUGGGCUCAACCUGAAUAUGAACAUGCAUUUAUGGUCAGUAACAUCAAUGAAAUUAAAACAAUGCAGCCUUAAAUCUAGAUUUGUGUUCAUAUUCAAAAAUAAUUUGUUGCAAUUGUAUGUUCUGUACAAUAUUUGCAGUCCGAAGUCAAGAAAUGUAACUUUAAAGUAAUUGUAUUCAAGGUUUAUUUCUGUGACAGCAGAGAUUAAAGAAGGCUGAAACAAACUUGA